Molecule: ribosomal RNA, 323 nt
Filed under: uncultured bacterium
Lineage: Bacteria
Description: bacterial SSU rRNA
Rfam family: Bacterial small subunit ribosomal RNA
Source: RNAcentral
GAUGAACGCUGGCGGCGUGCCUAACACAUGCAAGUCGAGCGAGGAGGUUAUGAAAGAAGCUUCGGUGGAUUGAAUAACUGGAAAGCGGCGGACGGGUGAGUAACGCGUGGGUAACCUACCUUGUACAGAGGAAUAGCCAUUGGAAACGAUGAUUAAUGCCUCAUAAGACUACAGUGUCACCUGACACAGUAGUAAAAACUCCGGUGGUACAGGAUGGACCCGCGUUAGAUUAGUUAGUUGGUGAGGUAACGGCUCACCAAGACAGCGAUCUAUAGCCGACCUGAGAGGGUGAUCGGCCACACUGGAACUGAGACACGGUCCAG